Molecule: ribosomal RNA, 216 nt
Filed under: uncultured bacterium
Lineage: Bacteria
Description: partial 16S ribosomal RNA
Rfam family: Bacterial small subunit ribosomal RNA
Source: RNAcentral
ACCUCAGUUCGGAUUGAAGGCUGAAAUUCGCCUUCAUGAAGUCGGAAUUGCUAGUAAUGGCAGGUCAGCAUACUGCCGUGAAUACGUUCCCGGGCCUUGUACACACCGCCCGUCACACCAUGAGAGUUGGAGAUACCCGAAGCCUGUGAGCUAACAGUAAUGAGGCAGCAGUCGAAGGUAGAGCCAAUGAUUGGGGUGAAGUCGUAACAAGGUAAC